Molecule: ribosomal RNA, 403 nt
Filed under: uncultured bacterium
Lineage: Bacteria
Description: partial 16S ribosomal RNA
Rfam family: Bacterial small subunit ribosomal RNA
Source: RNAcentral
GACGAACGCUGGCGGCGUGCCUAAUACAUGCAAGUCGAACGCAGUGGGGACGGUUGAGUAACACGUGGGUAACCUCCCAUCAGAGGGGAUAACACUUGGAAACAGGUGCUAAACCGAUACUGAUGGAUGGACCCGCGGUGCAUUAGCUAGGUGGUGGGGUAACGGCGAACCAAGGCCACGAUGCAUAGCCGACCUGAGAGGGUGAUCGGCCACACUGGGACUGAGACACGGCCCAGACUCCUACGGGAGGCAGCAGUAGGGAAGCUUCGGCAAGGGGCGAAAGUCUGACCGAGCAAUGCCGCGUGGGUGAAGAAGGUUUUCGGAGCGUAAAACUCUGUUGUUGGAGAAGCGGUAUCUAACCAGAAAGCCACGGCUAACUACGUGCCAGCAGCCGCGGUAAUAC